UUUCGCAAUGCCCGAAAGGGUGACGAAGCGACGCCGCGUGAGUGAGGAAGGCCUUCGGGUUGUAAAGCUCUGUCAGGAGUUAAGAAAUAUAAGUGUGCUAAUACCACAUUUAUUUGACGAAGGCUCCAAAGGAAGCCACGGCUAACUCUGUGCCAGCAGCCGCGGUAAUACAGAGGUGGCAAGCGUUGUUCGGAAUUAUUGGGCGUAAAGAGCACGUAGGUGGGUUUGUAAGUCAGAUGUGAAAGCCUUCUGUUCAACGGAAGAAUUGCAUCUGAAACUGCGAGUCUUGAGUGUAGGAGGGGAGAAUGGAACUUCUGGUGGAGCGGUGAAAUGCGUAGAUAUCAGAAGGAACGCCGGCGGCGAGAGCGAUUCUCUGGCCUAUUACUGACACUCAGUGUGCGAAAGCUAGGGGAGCAAACGGGAUUAGAUACCCCGGUAGUCCUAGCCGUAAACGAUGGGCACUAAGUAGAGGGGUUUUA
RNAcentral lists this ribosomal RNA (479 nucleotides) under uncultured anaerobic ammonium-oxidizing bacterium. RNAcentral describes it as "bacterial SSU rRNA". It matches the Rfam family "Bacterial small subunit ribosomal RNA", at positions 364 to 833 of the family's 1533-position model. The record is from RNAcentral.